GCAAAUAAAUCAAUGAUAGCAAUAAACACAACUGUUCACCAAGCGACCAGCCUUAUUAUGACUAAUUUGACUUCUGGCAUCAGCUACUCCGUUCAGAUAGCUGCCGAGACGAUUGUUGGCUUGGGUCCAUUUAGUCAAAAGUUUACUUGAAUAUCGAUUCUCGCUCUGUGGGUUUGGAUCCAUUAUCGCGAUAUCCUAUAAACGGGGAAGUCUCCAUAGUGGCGGGGACUUCGUAAUGGAAACAUGGUUUUACUUUUUGAUUGGAGCGAUUGUUCUGUUCAAAGUAAUUGUGAUUGGCGGCAUUAUUUAUGUGCGAAAGCAUAAUAUUUUCGCUAAAAAGUCGGCGCUUCCGAAUAUUUAUGAUUCCAAUGGUACAAGUUUAGUAACUCAAAUGAACAUAAAAGCGGCGGUGUCGCUGUCACAUCCACUGAGCAGUUGUUACAAUAAAAAUACUGUGACAAAGACUGAGUCAUUGCUUUGGAUGGAAAAUCAACCUGGAGUAUGCAUGUCUGGAACUCAAACUCAAAGCAAAGAAAA
Molecule: long non-coding RNA, 537 nt
Organism: Manduca sexta (tobacco hornworm)
Lineage: Eukaryota; Metazoa; Arthropoda; Insecta; Lepidoptera; Sphingidae
Exons: 3
Source: RefSeq, a predicted model, not a curated record